GUGAGGAAUAUUGGUCAAUGGGCGGGAGCCUGAACCAGCCAAGUCGCGUGAAGGAAGAAGGAUCUAUGGUACGUAAACUUCUUUUGCAGGGGAAUAAAGUGCAGGACGUGUCCUGUUUUGUAUGUACCCUGAGAAUAAGGAUCGGCUAACUCCGUGCCAGCAGCCGCGGUAAUACGGAGGAUCCGAGCGUUAUCCGGAUUUAUUGGGUUUAAAGGGUGCGUAGGUGGUUUGAUAAGUCAGCGGUGAAAGUUUGCAUCUUAACUGGAAAAAUGCCGUUGAAACUGUCUGACUUGAGUGUAAAUGAGGUAGGCGGAAUGCGUGGUGUAGCGGUGAAAUGCAUAGAUAUCACGCAGAACUCCGAUUGCGAAGGCAGCUUACUAAGCUACAACUGACACUGAAGCACGAAAGCGUGGGGAUCAAACAGGAUUAGAUACCCUAGUAGUCC
RNAcentral lists this ribosomal RNA (445 nucleotides) under uncultured bacterium. RNAcentral describes it as "partial 16S ribosomal RNA". It matches the Rfam family "Bacterial small subunit ribosomal RNA", at positions 354 to 796 of the family's 1533-position model. The record is from RNAcentral.